Molecule: ribosomal RNA, 467 nt
Filed under: uncultured bacterium
Lineage: Bacteria
Description: partial 16S ribosomal RNA
Rfam family: Bacterial small subunit ribosomal RNA
Source: RNAcentral
GACGAACGCUGGCGGCGUGCUUAACACAUGCAAGUCGAACGGAAAGGCCCUGCUUUUGUGGGGUGCUCGAGUGGCGAACGGGUGAGUAACACGUGAGUAACCUGCCCUUGACUUUGGGAUAACUUCAGGAAACUGGGGCUAAUACCGGAUAGGAGCUCCUGCUGCAUGGUGGGGGUUGGAAAGUUUCGGCGGUUGGGGAUGGACUCGCGGCUUAUCAGCUUGUUGGUGGGGUAGUGGCUUACCAAGGCUUUGACGGGUAGCCGGCCUGAGAGGGUGACCGGCCACAUUGGGACUGAGAUACGGCCCAGACUCCUACGGGAGGAAGCAGUGGGGAAUAUUGCACAAGGGGCGGAAGCCGGAUGCAGCAACGCCGCGUGCGGGAUGACGGCCUUCGGGUUGUAAACCGCUUUCGCCUGUGACGAAGCGUGAGUGACGGUAAUGGGUAAAGAAGCACCGGCUAACUACGU